Molecule: non-coding RNA, 26 nt
Filed under: Homo sapiens (human)
Lineage: Eukaryota; Metazoa; Chordata; Mammalia; Primates; Hominidae
Source: RNAcentral
UUCCUUAAUGAGUUCAGGUUUGCGUG